AUGGGGCACGGGGUGAGCUGCGCCCGCACCGGCGACGAGCACGACUUCUUCCGCGCGGCCCAGCUCGGGGACCUCGACGCCCUGGGCGCGCUCCUCGCCGCCGACGCCUCGCUCGCCCGCCGCGCCACGCUCUACGACCGUCUCUCCCCGCUCCACAUCGCCGCCGCCAAUGGCCGCCUCGAGGCGCUCGCCAUGUUCCUGGAUCGCGGGGCGCAGCCGGACGCCGUGGAUCGGCACAAGCAGACCCCCCUGAUGCUCGCCGCCAUGCACGGCAAGAUCGGCUGCGUGCUCAAGCUCCUCCAGGCCGGCGCAAACAUCUUGAUGUUCGACUCGGUGCACGCGCGGACCUGCCUCCACCACGCGGCCUACUACGGCCACGUCGACUGCCUGGACGCCAUCCUCUCCACGGCGCGGACCACGCCGGUGGCCGGCUCAUGGGGGUUCGCCCGGUUCGUCAACGUCAGGGACGACCACGGCGCCACGCCGCUGCACCUCGCGGCCAGGCAGGGCCGGCCGGGCUGCGUGCAGGUGCUGCUGGAGAACGGCGCCAUCGUGUCGGCAUUGACCGGAUCAUAUGGUUUCCCUGGUAGCACGUCGUUGCAUUUGGCAGCUCGCAGCGGGGACUUGGAUUGCAUCCGGAAGCUGCUUGCGUGGGGAGCUGAUCGGCUCCAAAGGGACUCUGCUGGGAGAAUUCCCUAUGUGGUGGCACAUAAGCGCAACCAUGGGGCAUGCGCAGCAUUGCUGAACCCUUCCUCGGCAGAGCCCAUGGUCUGGCCUUCCCCUCUGAAGUUCAUCAGCGAGCUCGACCCGGAAGCCAAGGCACUGCUGGAAGCGGCCCUGAUGGAGGCCAACAGGGAGAGGGAGAAGAAGAUCUUGAAGGACGCAAAGUGCUCGCCGCAGUCCCCUUUGCAAUACGAUGAUGAUCACAUCGACGACGACAUGUUCUCGGAGGUGAGCGACACGGAGCUGUGCUGCAUCUGCUUCGACCAGGCGUGCACCAUCGAGGUGCAGGAUUGCGGGCACCAGAUGUGCGCGCCCUGCACGCUGGCGCUGUGCUGCCACAACAAGCCCAACCCGGCGACCCUGACCCUGCCCUCGCCGGCGUGCCCGUUCUGCCGCGGCAGCAUCUCGCGGCUGGUGGUGGCCCAGACCCAGACAGCAGACAACGGCGACCCCGACAGGCCAGCCUCCCCGCAGCUCGCGCACCGGCGGUCCCGGCGCUCUCACAACCUCAGUGAGGGCAGCAGCAGCUUCAAGGGGCUGUCCUCGGCCAUCUCCAAGAUCGCGCGCGGCUCGAGCCGGAUGGCCGAGAGCGACGGCGCUGCGAUGGACAAGCCCGAGCACGAUCUGUGA
Molecule: ribosomal RNA, 1353 nt
Filed under: Triticum aestivum (bread wheat)
Lineage: Eukaryota; Viridiplantae; Streptophyta; Magnoliopsida; Poales; Poaceae
Description: partial small subunit ribosomal RNA
Source: RNAcentral